Molecule: ribosomal RNA, 450 nt
Filed under: uncultured bacterium
Lineage: Bacteria
Description: partial 16S ribosomal RNA
Rfam family: Bacterial small subunit ribosomal RNA
Source: RNAcentral
CCUACGGGGGGCUGCAGUAAGGAAUAUUGGUCAAUGGAGGAAACUCUGAACCAGCCAUCCCGCGUGAAGGAUGAAGGGGCUCUGCCUUGUAAACUUCUUUUGUCUGGGGCGAAAAAGCUCGAUUUAUCGAGAACUGACGGUACCAGAAGAAUAAGCACCGGCUAACUCCGUGCCAGCAGCAGCGGUAAUACGGAGGGGGCAAGCGUCACUCGGAAUCACGGGUGCGUAGGGGUGUUAGUGCGGCAGUGGAGAAAGGCUGUGGCUUAACCAUGGAAUUGCUCUUGAUCCUGCAGAGCUUGAAUGAGGUUGAGGUUGGCGGAAUGUGACAUGUAGCGGUGAAAUGCUUAGAUAUGUCAUGGAACACCGAUUGCGAAGGCAGCUGACUGGACCUAUAUUGACGCUGAGGCACGAAAGCGUGGGGAGCGAACAGGAUUAGAUACCCUUGUAGUC